AAAUGUACAACAUGUUACAAUAUCAAGGAUUAUUAUAUCAUACAAAGUCUUGCAUGUAAACUUUCUCGUGGCAUUAGUAAAAGUUUUAUAGCAACUAGGUAUUAAAAAUCAGGUUUCGUAAGGCCUUUCUGGAUAUAAACAGAGUCGUAAAAUGCAUUAAGCAAUAACUGUCGCAAAGUAAAGCCAACUAAAACAUUCGCAUUGCUGUAGUAAAAUAUCGAAUUUAUUACUUCAAGUGCGGCGCGGGUAACGAGAUCUCGUAAACAGUUUCAGAAAUAACGGCCGCGAUGGAAACAGCUUUAUAUAGUAAACUGCAGAAGAAAAUCGAUAUGAUAAAGUGCUCGUUAUUAAUUAAAGGUCAGAAAUGUUGUUUAAUUUAACACAUAGGUUUGAUACACGCUUUGGUCGUUCUUAUUGUGUUCAAGACUGCCAAUGCAAAAGAAAACUCAGUUCCUCUUAAAGAUAUAUACUCCGUCAUCGAAAACCUCGUUGCGCCGAUUCUGAAGUCCGUCAAUUUACAAGUUUCUGGAGACGAUGUGCAAGAUUAUUUAACUCCAAACAAAAUUGAGAAACAAUACAAGAAAAAAGUACAAAAUGGUGAUAAUGAUACGGACAACGAAAUAUCACUUACAGAUUAUAGCCAAGAAAUAUUUAUAGAUGACGUUGUUAAGAAUCUACAAGAUUCUUCAAUUUUGAAGAACAUUAACCCACAAGACAAAAUACAAAAAAGAUUUAAUCCUAACGACGAAGCACUUAUAGAGGACAGUGAAGAAACCAUUAUAUUACAAUAUCAGAGUUCAACUGAAGUUAAACCUAAUAGAAGGAAUAUUGAUCCAAAACCAAUAACAACCAACGUUACCAAUGACCGUUCUGAAAAGUAUAAACAAUUGCAACAUAAAAUAGGAAAUCUGUUACAUAAAGAACAAAUAUCUAAUAAAACGAAAAGUUUAAUAAGCAAUGCUUUCGAUAAAGUGAUAAAUCAAAUUAAUCACAAGUGCAUUUUCAGAUCAUCUGAAGAUCUGUCGUCAAAUAUGAGGUUCAGAGUAGGCAAACCUGAACAGGCAGCCAUAAAGUCAAUGUUACAGUCAUACAAAAGCGAAUUCGAUAAACUAAUUGAUAGAUAUCGUUUUGGCAGCAAAGAGAACUCAAAGUUUCUUGCGGAUUUACGGGAAUUAUUUUUUGAAAUGCACCAUUCUUUCAAAAAAUUUACCAUGCAAGACGAUCUACAAUGCAAUGUUGUUAAAAAAAAAUUAAAGGAACCGAAAAAGGAUAACAAAAGUUCUAUGCCUUAUAAAUUUCCAUCCAUACUUCGCGACAGAAAUCAUAGUACCAAAUGUCAAAUUCAUUCAAUCUGCCCCUUUGAAUUAAAAAUGUUUUUAGCUGAUUUUUCAGCCAAUAUUUUAGGUACGAUCGAUCUAGUGUUUCAUAACUACAAAAAGAUGUAUCUAGUUGACGUGUCGAAAGAAAGCAGCAGCGAACAAAAUAAGUUUUUGCUGUUUAUGGUGGAUACAAAUAAUCGGGUGAAUAAGAAAUUUAAUGAAACGUUUAUAAAUGAAAUUUAUAAACUUAAUCUGGAUUCUAUGCCUGACAUUGAUGCAAAAGUGGCAAGACUUAUUAAAUUUGUUGAUGCGACUGUUAACCAUGUUAAAACGUUGGUGGAUGAUGCUUUAAAAGACGAAAUAAGAAGAAUACCUAAUAAAAUGCAAAAUCCGGUAAAAACAGAUAUUAUGACUAACACUGAUAUAGAACUGGUCAAUGUGCUAGAAAAGAUUAAGUCUAAAAUGUGUAAUUCAUUCCAAACAUGCUACAGCAAAACUAAGUAAGGGUACUGAUUUUUCAAUAGCUGUUAAUUUUUACGCAUAUGGGGCAGAGAUUACAUUCUCAGUUUUUCACAACGCGAUUUAAUAGAAUAAAUUAAUAUAAAUUCGAAUAAAUUAACUGAG
Long non-coding RNA from Cydia splendana, 1943 nucleotides. RefSeq lists it as uncharacterized. The transcript has 2 exons. The record is from RefSeq and is a predicted model, not a curated record. Lineage: Eukaryota; Metazoa; Arthropoda; Insecta; Lepidoptera; Tortricidae.